CCUACGGGUGGCAGCAGUGGGGAAUAUUGGACAAUGGGGGCAACCCUGAUCCAGCCAUGCCGCGUGUGUGAAGAAGGUCCUCGGGUUGUAAAGCACUUUCAGUGAGGAAGAACGCCUGGUGGUUAAUACCCAUCAGGAAAGACAUCACUCACAGAAGAAGCACCGGCUAACUCCGUGCCAGCAGCCGCGGUAAUACGGAGGGUGCGAGCGUUAAUCGGAAUUACUGGGCGUAAAGCGCGCGUAGGUGGCUUGAUAAGCCGGUUGUGAAAGCCCCGGGCUCAACCUGGGAACGGCAUCCGGAACUGUCAAGCUAGAGUGCAGGAGAGGAAGGUAGAAUUCCCGGUGUAGCGGUGAAAUGCGUAGAGAUCGGGAGGAAUACCAGUGGCGAAGGCGGCCUUCUGGACUGACACUGACACUGAGGUGCGAAAGCGUGGGUAGCAAACAGGAUUAGAUACCCUUGUAGUC
This 465-nucleotide ribosomal RNA is filed under the name Vreelandella stevensii. RNAcentral describes it as "partial 16S ribosomal RNA". It matches the Rfam family "Bacterial small subunit ribosomal RNA", at positions 338 to 795 of the family's 1533-position model. Lineage: Bacteria; Pseudomonadati; Pseudomonadota; Gammaproteobacteria; Oceanospirillales; Halomonadaceae. The record is from RNAcentral.